GCCAGGGGUGCCCAGGGCUGUGCUGCAGAGCAGGCUCCUGCAGCCCAGGGCGCUGAGCUGGGGCAGGGACUCUGCUGCCUGCCAGGGACAGCUCUCAGCCGGCCCGGGGAGCUGCUGCCAGCGCUGGGGAGAAGCUCUGGGGGGAAGGAGCCACCCUGAGCAGGGCAGGUGCUGCUGCUGAGAGGGGCUGGGUGGGGCAGGGCUGCUCCCAGCUCCAGACCAGCCUGGACACAGCUCCGGAGGACACUUCCCAAAGAAGGCAAGAGGAGAAUGAGAGAGGCAGACCCGGAGGUGUAAUCAGACACUCACGGAACGUUCUGAGUUGAAAGGGACACACAGGAUCAUCCAGGUCCCCAUGUGCAGCCCCAGAAAAUGUCCAACAGCAGCUCCAUCAGCCACUUCCUCCUGCUGGCAUUGGCAGACAGGCGGCAGCUGCAGCUGCUGCACUUCUGCCUCUUGCUGGGCAUCUCCCUGGCUGCCCUCC
Molecule: long non-coding RNA, 484 nt
Organism: Motacilla alba alba
Lineage: Eukaryota; Metazoa; Chordata; Aves; Passeriformes; Motacillidae
Exons: 3
Source: RefSeq, a predicted model, not a curated record